Prunus avium (sweet cherry) is the source of this 726-nucleotide non-coding RNA. NCBI's taxonomy places the organism in Eukaryota, Viridiplantae, Streptophyta, Magnoliopsida, Rosales, Rosaceae. The record is from RefSeq and is a predicted model, not a curated record.
CAUCUCAUUUCUUUGUGAGCUAACCAGAACAGUAGAGUUUAUUCAUGAGUGCAACUAAAUUUGUUGCGAUGACUUGAUUUCAUAUAUGGAAACAAGGAAAGAAACAAAGUUUCAUGUUGAUUUUUAUAUGGUUUUUUGGCCUAAUUGGAUGAUAGAAACUAAGUUAGAGCAUACAGGUAUAUGCAUUUUGCAUACACUGCAAUGAGACUUUGCCUCUCAUUUUAGUUUAUUACCCUCAUCUUUUAUUUACCCUAGUUUAAAUUUGAGUCCUAUGUCCUGAUCAGUCAUGCCCCCAGUUCAUGUUACUCUUGACCAAAAUGUAUAAAGCAGGUAUUCAAUGCUCCAAAUUUCUAUUUACUUGACAUUUUGGCAAGUUUAACCUUUGGAUACGGCAUGGAUACUCUGAAGGGAUACACAAGGGAUAUGAGAUGGAUACAAGAGGGGUUUAUUGAUUUGUGCAGAUGUUUUUGGGAACAGCGAAACUGAGGGUAACUUUGAAAAAGUCUUAGAAUUGUUUUUGAAGAGGGGAUUUGAGUGGUAUUAUAUAAUGUUAAGGGCUGAUAUGAACACAAAGCAAAACAGAAAAUAAGAAAGAAAGAAAAUUUAAUAUGGUAGUUCACUAUGUGUUAUGGAUUAUGUGACUGCAUGCCGAGUCUCACCAUGAAUUGGGUCUAUAUGGACUAUAAAAGCGACAAUCAUCUUCGUUAGUGACUAAUUCUAUUAGGA